ACAAAGAAGAGUUUGAUCCUGUCUCAGGAUGAACUCUAGCGGCAGGCUUAACACAUGCAAGUCGAGGGGCAGCGCGAGGUAGCCAUACUUUGGCGGCGACCGGCGAAAGGUUGCGUAACGCGUGAGCAACUUGCCCGUAUCUGGGACAUAAGCGGUGGAAACGCCGUCUAAUUUCCCAUAACA
RNAcentral lists this ribosomal RNA (183 nucleotides) under Bacteroidales bacterium. RNAcentral describes it as "partial 16S ribosomal RNA". It matches the Rfam family "Bacterial small subunit ribosomal RNA", at positions 1 to 178 of the family's 1533-position model. Lineage: Bacteria; Pseudomonadati; Bacteroidota; Bacteroidia; Bacteroidales. The record is from RNAcentral.